RNAcentral lists this ribosomal RNA (497 nucleotides) under uncultured bacterium. RNAcentral's name for it is "partial 16S ribosomal RNA". It matches the Rfam family "Bacterial small subunit ribosomal RNA", at positions 28 to 507 of the family's 1533-position model. The record is from RNAcentral.
GAUGAACGCUGGCGGCGUGCCUAAUACAUGCAAGUCGAGCGAACAGACGAGGAGCUUGCUCCUCUGACGUUAGCGGCGGACGGGUGAGUAACACGUGGAUAACCUACCUAUAAGACUGGGAUAACUUCGGGAAACCGGAGCUAAUACCGGAUAAUAUAUUGAACCGCAUGGUUCAAUAGUGAAAGACGGUUUUGCUGUCACUUAUAGAUGGAUCCGCGCCGCAUUAGCUAGUUGGUAAGGUAACGGCUUACCAAGGCAACGAUGCGUAGCCGACCUGAGAGGGUGAUCGGCCACACGGGAGCGGAGACGCGGUCCAGACUCCUACGGGAGGCAGCAGUAGGGAAUCUGCCGCAAUGGGCGAAAUCCUGACGGAGCAACGCCGCGUGAGUUAUGAAGGUCUUCGGAUCGUAAAACUCUGUUAUUAGGGAAGAACAAAUGUGUAAGUAACUAUGCACGUCUUGACGGUACCUAAUCAGAAAGCCACGGCUAACUACGUG